GUUGACCGAGUCAUUUUAGGCA
This 22-nucleotide non-coding RNA is filed under the name Arabidopsis thaliana (thale cress). The record is from RNAcentral. Lineage: Eukaryota; Viridiplantae; Streptophyta; Magnoliopsida; Brassicales; Brassicaceae.